UCCGUAGGGGUGACUGCGGAAGGAUCAUUG
This 30-nucleotide ribosomal RNA is filed under the name Saponaria pumila. Its description in RNAcentral is "partial 18S ribosomal RNA". The record is from RNAcentral. Lineage: Eukaryota; Viridiplantae; Streptophyta; Magnoliopsida; Caryophyllales; Caryophyllaceae.